GACUCUCGGCAACGGAUAUCUCGGCUCUCGCAUCGAUGAAGAACGUAGCGAAAUGCGAUACUUGGUGUGAAUUGCAGAAUCCCGUGAACCAUCGAGUUUUUGAACGCAAGUUGCGCCCAAAGCCACUCGGCCGAGGGCACGUCUGCCUGGGCGUCACGUAU
Molecule: ribosomal RNA, 161 nt
Filed under: Myriophyllum aquaticum
Lineage: Eukaryota; Viridiplantae; Streptophyta; Magnoliopsida; Saxifragales; Haloragaceae
Description: 5.8S ribosomal RNA
Rfam family: 5.8S ribosomal RNA
About the family: 5.8S ribosomal RNA (5.8S rRNA) is a component of the large subunit of the eukaryotic ribosome. It is transcribed by RNA polymerase I as part of the 45S precursor that also contains 18S and 28S rRNA.
Source: RNAcentral